UGGGGAAUUUUGGACAAUGGGGGCAACCCUGAUCCAGCAAUGCCGCGUGAGUGAAGAAGGCCUUCGGGUUGUAAAGCUCUUUUGUCAGGGAAGAAACGGUAGUAGCGAAUAACUAUUACUAAUGACGGUACCUGAAGAAUAAGCACCGGCUAACUACGUGCCAGCAGCCGCGGUAAUACGUAGGGUGCAAGCGUUAAUCGGAAUUACUGGGCGUAAGGCGUGCGCAGGCGGUUGUGUAAGUCAGAUGUGAAAUCCCCGGGCUCAACCUGGGAAUUGCAUUUGAGACUGCACGGCUAGAGUGUGUCAGAGGGGGGUAGAAUUCCACGUGUAGCAGUGAAAUGCGUAGAUAUGUGGAGGAAUACCGAUGGCGAAGGCAGCCCCCUGGGAUAACACUGACGCUCAUGCACGAAAGCGUGGGGAGCAAACAGGAUUAGAUACCCCCGUAGUCCCUGAGCGGGCUGGCAAGGCGCAU
RNAcentral lists this ribosomal RNA (472 nucleotides) under uncultured bacterium. RNAcentral describes it as "bacterial SSU rRNA". It matches the Rfam family "Bacterial small subunit ribosomal RNA", at positions 355 to 825 of the family's 1533-position model. The record is from RNAcentral.